AUUGAACGCUGGCGGCAGGCCUAACACAUGCAAGUCGAGCGGAUGAAGGGAGCUUGCUCCUGGAUUCAGCGGCGGACGGGUGAGUAAUGCCUAGGAAUCUGCCUGGUAGUGGGGGGUAACGUCCGGAAACGGGCGCUAAUACCGCAUACGUCCUGAGGGAGAAAGUGGGGGAUCUUCGGACCUCACGCUAUCAGAUGAGCCUAGGUCGGAUUAGCUAGUUGGUGGGGUAAAGGCCUAACAAGGCGACGAUCCGUAACUGGUCUGAGAGGAUGAUCAGUCACACUGGAACUGAGACACGGUCCAGACUCCUACGGGAGGCAGCAGUGGGGAAUAUUGGACAAUGGGCGAAAGCCUGAUCCAGCCAUGCCGCGUGUGUGAAGAAGGUCUUCGGAUUGUAAAGCACUUUAAGUUGGGAGGAAGGGCAGUAAGUUAAUACCUUGCUGUUUUGACGUUACCAACAGAAUAAGCACCGGCUAACUUCGUG
This 484-nucleotide ribosomal RNA is filed under the name uncultured bacterium. RNAcentral describes it as "partial 16S ribosomal RNA". It matches the Rfam family "Bacterial small subunit ribosomal RNA", at positions 30 to 507 of the family's 1533-position model. The record is from RNAcentral.